RNAcentral lists this antisense RNA (75 nucleotides) under Actinokineospora bangkokensis. Its description in RNAcentral is "ASpks TB sRNA". It matches the Rfam family "ASpks TB sRNA". Lineage: Bacteria; Bacillati; Actinomycetota; Actinomycetes; Pseudonocardiales; Pseudonocardiaceae. The record is from Rfam by way of RNAcentral.
CUUGAGCGAGCCCAGCCGCAGCGGCGCGGCGCCGUCCCGGUCGCGGCCGUAGGUGGCCAGCACGGCCUGCGCCUC